AACGAACGCUGGCGGCAUGCCUAACACAUGCAAGUCGAACGAGACCUUCGGGUCUAGUGGCGCACGGGUGCGUAACGCGUGGGAACCUGCCCUUAGGUUCGGAAUAACUCCCCGAAAGGGGUGCUAAUACCGGAUAAUGUCUUCGGACCAAAGAUUUAUCGCCUUUGGAUGGGCCCGCGUUGGAUUAGCUAGUUGGUAGGGUAAAAGCCUACCAAGGCGACGAUCCAUAGCUGGUCUGAGAGGAUGAUCCGCCACACUGGGACUGAGACACGGCCCAGACUCCUACGGGAGGCAGCAGUGGGGAAUAUGGGACAACGGGCGAAAGCCUGAUCCAGCAAUGCCGCGUGAGUGAUGAAGGCCUUAGGGUUGUAAAGCUCUUUUACCCGGGAUGAUAAUGACAGGACCGGGAGAAUAAGCUCCGGCUAACUCCGUG
Molecule: ribosomal RNA, 433 nt
Filed under: uncultured bacterium
Lineage: Bacteria
Description: partial 16S ribosomal RNA
Rfam family: Bacterial small subunit ribosomal RNA
Source: RNAcentral